This 327-nucleotide ribosomal RNA is filed under the name uncultured eukaryote. RNAcentral describes it as "partial 18S ribosomal RNA". It matches the Rfam family "Eukaryotic small subunit ribosomal RNA", at positions 1470 to 1796 of the family's 1831-position model. The record is from RNAcentral.
CCCUUAGAUGUUCUGGGCCGCACGCGCGCUACACUGAUUCAUGCAACAAGUUUUGUCCUUGGCUGAUAGGCCUGGGUAAUCUUUGAACGUGAAUCGUGAUGGGGAUAGAUGAUUGCAAUUAUUCAUCUUCAAUGAGGAAUUCCUAGUAAACGCAAGUCAUCAGCUUGCAUUGAUUACGUCCCUGCCCUUUGUACACACCGCCCGUCGCACCUACCGAUUGAAUGGUCCGGUGAAAUCUUCGGAUCUGAGAGAUGUCUGAUUAAUUUCGGACGCCUUUUGGAAAAGUUGCUUAAACCUUACCAUUUAGAGGAAGGUGAAGUCGUAACA